Molecule: ribosomal RNA, 1554 nt
Filed under: Escherichia coli
Lineage: Bacteria; Pseudomonadati; Pseudomonadota; Gammaproteobacteria; Enterobacterales; Enterobacteriaceae
Description: bacterial SSU rRNA
Rfam family: Bacterial small subunit ribosomal RNA
Source: RNAcentral
AAAUUGAAGAGUUUGAUCAUGGCUCAGAUUGAACGCUGGCGGCAGGCCUAACACAUGCAAGUCGAACGGUAACAGGAAGAAGCUUGCUUCUUUGCUGACGAGUGGCGGACGGGUGAGUAAUGUCUGGGAAACUGCCUGAUGGAGGGGGAUAACUACUGGAAACGGUAGCUAAUACCGCAUAACGUCGCAAGACCAAAGAGGGGGACCUUCGGGCCUCUUGCCAUCGGAUGUGCCCAGAUGGGAUUAGCUAGUAGGUGGGGUAACGGCUCACCUAGGCGACGAUCCCUAGCUGGUCUGAGAGGAUGACCAGCCACACUGGAACUGAGACACGGUCCAGACUCCUACGGGAGGCAGCAGUGGGGAAUAUUGCACAAUGGGCGCAAGCCUGAUGCAGCCAUGCCGCGUGUAUGAAGAAGGCCUUCGGGUUGUAAAGUACUUUCAGCGGGGAGGAAGGGAGUAAAGUUAAUACCUUUGCUCAUUGACGUUACCCGCAGAAGAAGCACCGGCUAACUCCGUGCCAGCAGCCGCGGUAAUACGGAGGGUGCAAGCGUUAAUCGGAAUUACUGGGCGUAAAGCGCACGCAGGCGGUUUGUUAAGUCAGAUGUGAAAUCCCCGGGCUCAACCUGGGAACUGCAUCUGAUACUGGCAAGCUUGAGUCUCGUAGAGGGGGGUAGAAUUCCAGGUGUAGCGGUGAAAUGCGUAGAGAUCUGGAGGAAUACCGGUGGCGAAGGCGGCCCCCUGGACGAAGACUGACGCUCAGGUGCGAAAGCGUGGGGAGCAAACAGGAUUAGAUACCCUGGUAGUCCACGCCGUAAACGAUGUCGACUUGGAGGUUGUGCCCUUGAGGCGUGGCUUCCGGAGCUAACGCGUUAAGUCGACCGCCUGGGGAGUACGGCCGCAAGGUUAAAACUCAAAUGAAUUGACGGGGGCCCGCACAAGCGGUGGAGCAUGUGGUUUAAUUCGAUGCAACGCGAAGAACCUUACCUGGUCUUGACAUCCACGGAAGUUUUCAGAGAUGAGAAUGUGCCUUCGGGAACCGUGAGACAGGUGCUGCAUGGCUGUCGUCAGCUCGUGUUGUGAAAUGUUGGGUUAAGUCCCGCAACGAGCGCAACCCUUAUCCUUUGUUGCCAGCGGUCCGGCCGGGAACUCAAAGGAGACUGCCAGUGAUAAACUGGAGGAAGGUGGGGAUGACGUCAAGUCAUCAUGGCCCUUACGACCAGGGCUACACACGUGCUACAAUGGCGCAUACAAAGAGAAGCGAACUCGCGAGAGCAAGCGGACCUCAUAAAGUGCGUCGUAGUCCGGAUUGGAGUCUGCAACUCGACUCCAUGAAGUCGGAAUCGCUAGUAAUCGUGGAUCAGAAUGCCACGGUGAAUACGUUCCCGGGCCUUGUACACACCGCCCGUCACACCAUGGGAGUGGGUUGCAAAAGAAGUAGGUAGCUUAACCUUCGGGAGGGCGCUUACCACUUUGUGAUUCAUGACUGGGGUGAAGUCGUAACAAGGUAACCGUAGGGGAACCUGCGGUUGGAUCACCUCCUUACCUUAAAGAAGC